This 497-nucleotide ribosomal RNA is filed under the name uncultured bacterium. RNAcentral's name for it is "partial 16S ribosomal RNA". It matches the Rfam family "Bacterial small subunit ribosomal RNA", at positions 28 to 507 of the family's 1533-position model. The record is from RNAcentral.
GAUGAACGCUGGCGGCGUGCCUAAUACAUGCAAGUCGAGCGAACAGACGAGGAGCUUGCUCCUCUGACGUUAGCGGCGGACGUGUGAGUAACACGUGGAUAACCUACCUAUAAGACUGGUAUAACUUCGGGAAACCGGAGCUAAUACCGGAUAAUAUAUUGAACCGCAUGGUUCAAUAGUGAAUGACGGUUUUUCUGUCACUUAUAGAUGGAUCCGCGCCGCAUUAGCUAGUUGGUAAGUUAACGGCUUACCAAGGCAACGAUGCGUAGCCGACCUGAGAGGGUGAUCGGCCACACUGGAACUGAGACACGGUCCAGACGCCUACGGGAGGCAGCAGUAGGGAAUCUUACGCAAAGGGCGAAAGCAUGACGGAGCAACGCCGCGUGAGUGAUGAAGGUCUUCGGAUCGUAAAACUCUGUUAUUAGGGAAGAAAAAAUGUGUAAGUAAAUAUGCACGUCUUGACGGUACCUAAUCAGAAAGCCACGGCUAACUACGUG